GGAAGCCAUGAUCUACUCAUGGAAGGAGGUGAUCUGGACUACUUUGUGUAAAUAAAUUCAUGCCCUGGGUUUGCUUACAAUGGUGACAAAUUCUCAGAGUAAGUUCCAGAACACAGCGUCCCCAAGAACUGGAUGCCCUCCAGGCUCCUCCCUCUUCUCCGGCCUUAGCCUUCAGCCCUGGGUGCUACAGAGGGAUACACCCUCCUCAGACCUCCACCUGGGAGGAUAGCCAGUUCUCAGAUCUUCACGGCUGGCUCCUCUUCCGGCCCGCUGCCGUGGCCCCUCUACAGAGCCCCUGUACAGAAGGUCCAGGCAGCAGUAGAAGCAGGGGUAGAAGCUGGGCCCUCGAGCCCAGUACAGCGUUCACCCUCCAUUAGGCCCUGCAGCUGUGUGAGCUUCUGCGGGUCCACAGCCUCCAUUUCUUUGUCUGUAAAAUGGGGUUUAGUGAUAGUGUCUGUCUCCUGGGGCUCCUUCAAGGGCUACGGUGUUUCCGUGUGUUAGGGCCGUCCCUCUGGUGCCUAGAGAACAGGGCACAGCCCCAAAUGACCCCAGACUGUGCAGUUCCCCGUGGGACGCUGGAGAGGCCUCUGUGGCCCUGCCCCUCCCCCUGCCACUCCCCCACUGCCAGCCCCACAGGCCCUUCUCCCCCAGCCCCAGCUCCACCUUGGAGCCACCAUCCUCCUCACGGGCCUCUCACCUGUGCCUCCAACAGGAAGUGAAUACUCGGGCAACACCUAUGGCCACACCCCCUACUCCUCCUACAGCGAGGCCUGGCGCUUCCCCAACUCCAGCUUGCUGAGUAAGUCCGGCCUGGCAGGCCCCCUGUGGGGCAGGGCGGGUGGGAGGGACAAGGCCAGGCCCAGGAGUUUGAGCACUGGGUGGCCCCAGGUUAGACAAGGCCUGGAGACCUUGUCUGGCACAGGAUGUAGCAGGAGGGCAGUCUUUGCAGGGAGAAGGCAGAAGCCAGGUAAUUCCUGACUUUGAUCUCCCUCCUGCUCCCUAAGGCCCUAAAUCAUCGUUUUGCAUAAGAUUCAGAGUCAGGACUUGAGGGGAGGGCAAGGAUUCAGAAGAGUCUAAGAGAGGCCUGCUGCUGCAGGGUCGCCGUCCCCCUGGCCACGCUGAUCCAGCCACUGCAGGCCACACUGCUGUGCUUCUUCCUGAGAGCUGAUUUCAGAACACUACCCUGACCCUCAUCAUCCACCUAAGUGGGUCCCAGAUAAUCCUGACUCUAAAGCCCUUAGCAGGAAGCCUUGUUCCUCCAGGUUUGGCAUAUUUGGUUUGAGAACUGGACGGCAUGCAGGGUUGAGGUCCAGAGAGAGAUAAUGGCUUCAGCAGGCUUCGGGGCCACUGUCCACCCUUCUCUAGCUGUGGGACCUGGGCUAGGGAGAAAAGCAAGCCCACAGUGGGGAACUUGAGGGCUCCCACUAGGGCUUCCCUGAGGGGUGGCCUUGAGGGUAUCAGAGCAGACCUGAGCUGGAGAGGAGCCCUGGCAGACCUCCUGGGAACCUCUGCUGCUGUAACCUCUGAGCAUUCUGCCCUAGGCUCUGCAGAUGUCUGCAAUUCCAAGCCACCUCUUGGUUCACCUCAGCCAGGAAGGACAAGGGCAAGGAGACAUGCAGGGGUCAGGGGUCAGGACAACCUCCUGCUGAGCCUCCUCAAGCUGCCAUCAGCAGGGGCUUGGAGCCUGCUGCAGGCCUGGAGCCCAGGCCUCCUUGGCCCGGUGGGAAUCUCAGUCUGGGCAUCAGAUUCUGCGACCUGCUGUUGUUGGGCAAGUCUGGUGCUUGGUUCUUGUGCUCCCAAGGGCCACGGCUCUCUCCUGCCCUCUCCUGCCCUCUCCCUGCCCCCAGGUGUUGAAGGUCAAGAGGGGGGAGGGGGCAAGACAGGCUCUCAUUCUGGUGGCAACUCCGAGGCGAGGCUGGAGAAGGAGGAGACAGGGCUGGAGAGGAGUUAAUCUUUGAUGAUCAGAUAGGCAGGGGUGAAUGAUUAACUGCUGCUGUCUUAAAGGUCAGCAGAGGCCGGGAGGCCGAGCCACCGCCACCUCCCCUCUGACCAGCAGUGUUGUUGUUUUUUUCGAUGGUCCAGGUUCCCCCUAUUAUUACAGUUCCACCUCGAGGCCGAGCGUGCCGCCCACCUCUGCCACGGCCUUUGACCAUCUGUAAUUGCCAUGGGGACAGUGGGAGCGACCAGGCAGCAGGAGGACUCGGCCUGGGACAGGCCCCAGAGAGUCAUACAAAGGAAUCUUUAUUUAUUACAUGAAAAAUAACCACAAGUCCAGCUUCAUGGCUCACUCCCCGUGUGGUUAAUGUAAUCAACCGUGAAAGACGGGAUGACCUUGGAGAAGGCCAAACUGUCCUCCAGGACUCCUUAAUGGGGGCAGGAGUUCAAGGGAAAGAGGACCAUCCCAUUCCAAAAGACAGAAUUGGAGAAGAAAUGUUCCCUGGCUGCUAGCCACCAAAGGAGAGAAGCAAGCGCCCCAGGACCUGGAGGGGGUACAGGUGGGCCUGCCGGCCCGCAUGGGCACAAGGCACUCGCAUGGCUCAUCAACACAGCUUAGCAGAGGUGGACUGUAGGCAAGUCCUUCCGCCCACAGGUCACAGCCUGGUGCCAAGGCUCGACCCGACAGGCACCCUGACCCCUCCCUCAGCCUCCACCACUGCUGGCUCUUCCUGCUGUGUCUCCCGGGCACGGGCUGAGGGCUGCUAGUCUGUCACCCCCCUGCAUUGCCAGAUGACCCCCACUCCACCUGCUGCUGUGCAAGUUCCAGCCUCUCCUCCAGUGGCUCCUCUCUUUGGCAGCCACCAUCAGCCAUCCAGAAGCAGCUGAAGACAGGCAUUCCCCAGGGCCUAGGCCCUGGGAGGGGAGGUGCGGCCCUGCCCAGGGCAGAACAAGGCCCAAUGGUGGGAAAAGCCAACCAGAGGACACUUCCCCUUCCAGCUGCUCUUGCCAAGUCACCUGAGCUACCACAGCCCUCCUACAGCAGCCAGAAGACACCCAAGGCAGCCCCCGAGGCCCAACUGUAAAUACUGUAUAUGAAGCUCUGGUGGGUCCUGCUUCCCUCUUUCCACCCCAGACUUGGCCUCUGAAUUGUCUCCCAGCACCUUGGGCUUCUCUCCUUGAUGCUUCUUUCUUUUUUAAAGAAACCCACCAUUGCCACAUGACUCAAUAAACCAUUACUCUUCGUCUCAGGCUUUGGGGUUGGCUCCGGG
Molecule: long non-coding RNA, 3206 nt
Filed under: Marmota monax (woodchuck)
Lineage: Eukaryota; Metazoa; Chordata; Mammalia; Rodentia; Sciuridae
Source: RNAcentral